This 164-nucleotide ribosomal RNA is filed under the name Veronica agrestis. Its description in RNAcentral is "5.8S ribosomal RNA". It matches the Rfam family "5.8S ribosomal RNA". From Rfam's summary of the family: 5.8S ribosomal RNA (5.8S rRNA) is a component of the large subunit of the eukaryotic ribosome. It is transcribed by RNA polymerase I as part of the 45S precursor that also contains 18S and 28S rRNA. Functionally, it is thought that 5.8S rRNA may be involved in ribosome translocation. The record is from RNAcentral. Lineage: Eukaryota; Viridiplantae; Streptophyta; Magnoliopsida; Lamiales; Plantaginaceae.
UCUAAACGACUCUCGGCAACGGAUAUCUCGGCUCUCGCAUCGAUGAAGAACGUAGCGAAAUGCGAUACUUGGUGUGAAUUGCAGAAUCCCGUGAACCAUCGAGUCUUUGAACGCAAGUUGCGCCCGAAGCCUUCUGGCCCGAGGGCACGCCUGCUUGGGCGUCA